AAUCGAAACACCUAUCCAGCUACUAUUAAGUACCGAGUGAUGGCAGAUGCCGAGAAUAUUAUCAAUGCGGAUAAUUCCUCCGUUAGUUCAGGAGACGAAUCUGACUAUGUCCUGGCUGAGGGGUGUGCCCAAACGGAUGAUGAUGAAUCUUCCACUUCGGGCUCUUAUACUGAUGCUUCUUCAGAGUAUGCAGCAGAAUGUGUUGAGGCAGUAGAAGCCAGCAAAGGAGAUGCAAAGCCAAUAGAUGAUUCACGUGAUCGAAAGACAGGCCAAGCGAGCGGCUGGUGCGUUAUAUGCUAAUUUAAUUGUUGACCUGUUUCUCGUUUACACUUUCACAUACAAAUGCCAACUGGAACUUCAAACAUACAUAUGCUGUGGGUUUUUUCAACAAUUUAAACACACUGAAAUAUCAAGAUAAAAUGGGAAAAUAUUUAUUUCUGGUCUUCCCAUUCGAACCCCGUCUGCGUACAGAAUUGUAUGCACCCCAAAAACUAUAGUUACUCGUAAUUUGAGGCGACGACUGGUCUUUCAUUAAGUCGCUGUGCAAAUCCAAGUCGCUCUAUCUCAUUGAAUAACUACAAAUCAUGCAGCAAUCAAAUGUGGGCAUGGGAAUGAUGUGUGGGAUACGCAGGAAUAUACUCAUUGUGGAAGCCAUUCUGUUCUGGGCGCUUGUCAUUUAAUAUCCGCAAUUAAAGUGGUAAUCAAUCAAAAUGAACAGGCAGAAAACCUAAAUGAAUUAAAAGCAAACGAAGGAACAAAGCAAAGGAUGAAUGCACAGGACGAACCGGAAUGGGAGUCGCCACAAACACACAAUAAACAGAAACGAAUGGGAAAGAAAACUGAAGCGCAGCAAAUGAACGGAAAAACUGGUGGAAAAAAAAGGAAAGGCAAAGAAAAGGAAACCAAAAAAGCACCAGAACAAACAGGCAGAAACCAAAGCGAAUACACUGGGGGAAUACUCGUACCAACCGCAAAUAGAAGCUAAACUUAUGGCGAAAUAAAUA
Drosophila guanche is the source of this 1004-nucleotide long non-coding RNA. RefSeq lists it as uncharacterized. Lineage: Eukaryota; Metazoa; Arthropoda; Insecta; Diptera; Drosophilidae. The transcript has 4 exons. The record is from RefSeq and is a predicted model, not a curated record.